RNAcentral lists this ribosomal RNA (731 nucleotides) under uncultured Campylobacter sp. RNAcentral's name for it is "bacterial SSU rRNA". It matches the Rfam family "Bacterial small subunit ribosomal RNA", at positions 28 to 776 of the family's 1533-position model. The record is from RNAcentral. Lineage: Bacteria; Pseudomonadati; Campylobacterota; Epsilonproteobacteria; Campylobacterales; Campylobacteraceae.
AGUGAACGCUGGCGGCGUGCCUAAUACAUGCAAGUCGAACGGAGAUUAAGUAGCUUGCUAUUUAAUCUUAGUGGCGCACGGGUGAGUAAUGUAUAGCUAAUCUGCCCUACACUAGAGGACAACAGUUGGAAACGACUGCUAAUACUCUAUACUCCUCUCUAGCAUAAGUUAGAUAGGGAGAGUUUUUCGGUGUAGGAUGAGGCUAUAUUGUAUCAGCUAGUUGGUGAGGUAAUGGCUCACCAAGGCUAUGACGCAUAACUGGUCUGAGAGGAUGAUCAGUCACACUGGAACUGAGACACGGUCCAGACUCCUACGGGAGGCAGCAGUAGGGAAUAUUGCUCAAUGGGGGAAACCCUGAAGCAGCAACGCCGCGUGGAGGAUGACACUUUUCGGAGCGUAAACUCCUUUUGUUAGGGAAGAACAAUGACGGUACCUAACGAAUAAGCACCGGCUAACUCCGUGCCAGCAGCCGCGGUAAUACGGAGGGUGCAAGCGUUACUCGGAAUCACUGGGCGUAAAGGACGCGUAGGCGGAUUAUCAAGUCUCUUGUGAAAUCCUAUGGCUUAACCAUAGAACUGCUUGGGAAACUGAUAAUCUAGAGUGAGGGAGAGGCAGAUGGAAUUGGUGGUGUAGGGGUAAAAUCCGUAGAGAUCACCAGGAAUACCCAUUGCGAAGGCGAUCUGCUGGAACUCAACUGACGCUAAUGCGUGAAAGCGUGGGGAGCAAACAGG